GCAUAGACUCAAUAAGACAACCUUUAAAGAUUAUUUUUAUAAUCCUAUUUUCAAAAAAGAAAAUGAAACUCAAAGCAACUUGUCUGAGCUUUUGUAGCUUGAAAGUUAGAAGCCAAAGGUUGAUCUCAGCCUUUCCUUUAAUGGGCAUUUCCACCUCACCCUUUAUCAUUUUGCAGUGCGUUAACAUUCUUUGUCUACUUUCUUUCUUACAAAGUCCCUUAGGAGAUAAGAGGUACAUUGGCUAAUGAAGAAAUUAAAGUUCAACAAGGUUCAGCAAUUUCCACACGUGAAAAAUGUUAGAGAGGAAUUUAAAAACCAGGUAUCUUGCCUAGUUCAGAGAUGGAACCAGCAUGCCACUGACAUGAUUAUUUGAUCACCUGUUAUGCCUUUGACUAAGCAGAAUGAUCAAUGUGGUACCAGCACACAGUCAACUCCUGAAAAGUCUGAAUUAGAAUGUGCCAUGAAUCCUCUCUUUACAUCAUAAUUAGCAUCUUCAGAACCAAUGACUUGUUCCUAGAACACCAUUUUGACCUAAAAUGCCAUGAACUGUAGAGCAAGGUCACUAAAAUGGUGACACAGGUUGUUCCUUACCUCACUCCCUCUCACAAGAGGAAUAACUGUCACCUAUUUAUGAGCAAGACAUCACUGAGAGAAUCCUAGCAUCAGUGGGUGAGGAUGAUGGAGCCCCUGCACCUCAGAGCCCAAAUAGACUGGAAGGGAAUGGCAGGAAAACCAGUAGGGCUCAACCACUGAGUAUCUUCCUGUGAUGAAGGUAAAAGACUUGCAACAACCGACAACCAACAAACACAUGGAUCUUGGUGAGCUGAGUUCCCAUCUGCAGAGCUUAAGGAGUCAUCCCAGCCAGAGGCUUGGCUUAUCUACAGAACCAAGUUGAGGACGCAUUCUGACCAGGGAACUCGGUGAGAGAUGGAGGAAACAGCCAGAGGACUAGAAGUGGAGCCUGAAGAUGUGUCUGAAUGGCUGCAAUCUCAUGAUCAAACUUUUACGGAUGAGGAGUUGUUUCUUAGGGAUGCGCGAAGCAAGUGGUUCCUUGAGUUGGAAUCUACUCCCAGUGAAGAUGCUGUGAAGACUGAUGAAAUGACAACAAAGGAUUUACAGUAUUACAUGAACUUAGUUGAUAAAGCAGCUGCAGGGUUUGAGAGGAUUUGACCCCAAUUUUGAAAGGAGAUGUACUGUGGGUAAAAUGUGAUGGAACAGUAUUCCCUGCUACAGAGAUAUCAUUUGUGAAAGGAAGAGCCAAUUGAUGAGGCAAAUUUUGUUGGCUUAUUUUAAGAAAUCACAGCCACACCAGCCUUCAACAACCACCACCUUUAUCAGUCAGCGGCUAUCAACAGUGAGGCGACAUCCUUCCCGAGAAAAAAAGAUUAUGACUUGCUAAAGUUGAGGUGAUAGUUAGCAUUUUGUUUUAGCAAUAAAGUACUUUUAAAAUA
Molecule: RNA transcript, 1451 nt
Organism: Felis catus (domestic cat)
Lineage: Eukaryota; Metazoa; Chordata; Mammalia; Carnivora; Felidae
Gene name: tigger transposable element-derived protein 1-like
Exons: 3
Source: RefSeq, a predicted model, not a curated record